This 253-nucleotide ribosomal RNA is filed under the name uncultured bacterium. Its description in RNAcentral is "partial 16S ribosomal RNA". It matches the Rfam family "Bacterial small subunit ribosomal RNA", at positions 524 to 776 of the family's 1533-position model. The record is from RNAcentral.
UACGGAGGGGGCAAGCGUUAUCCGGAAUUACUGGGCGUAAAGCGCACGCAGGCGGUCUUUUAAGUUUGACGUGAAAGCUCCCGGCUUAACUGGGAGAGGUCGUUGAAUACUGGAAGACUUGAGGCAAUGAGAGGGGUGUAGAAUUCCCGGUGUAGUGGUGGAAUGCGUAGAUAUCGGGAGGAACACCUGCGGCGAAGGCGGGUUGCUGGGCUGACACUGACGCUGAGGCGCGAAAGCUAGGGGAGCGAACGGG